Molecule: long non-coding RNA, 1413 nt
Organism: Bubalus bubalis (water buffalo)
Lineage: Eukaryota; Metazoa; Chordata; Mammalia; Artiodactyla; Bovidae
Exons: 3
Source: RefSeq, a predicted model, not a curated record
UGGAGAAUCCCAUGGACAGAGGAGCCUGAUGGGCUAUAGUCCAUAGGUUCGCAAAGAGUCAGAUAUGACUGAAGCGACUUAGGACUCAUGCAUUAUCAUUAUUAUUGUUAUUAUUUAUUGAAAAGUAUUUAAAGAAUAGUUAUCUACCAUGAGAGUCAUAUGAAAGUCUUCCCAACUUUCAAGUAAUUUUAAUAUCCAAACCCGGGCUACUUUUCGCAUCCCUUUUCCAAAAGGCUAAACAGCAACCUUCCUAAAAAGCAUUCAUCUCUGUCAGAUUAGUUUAUACGAUUAGCUGAUCAAGAGCUCAUCUGGCCUGCUUCCUGCGGCUCCAGAUCCCUGGAGGCAAAAUUGAGACUAGUAGAGGACUAGAUGGGAGAAGGCAAUGGCACCCCACUCCAGUACUCUUGCCUGGAAAAUCCCAUGGACAGUGGAGCCUGGUGGGCUGACGUCUAUGGGGUCGCACAGAGUCAGACACGACUGAAGCGACUUAGCAGCAGCAGCAGCAGCAGCAGCAGCAGCAGCAGCAGAGGACUAGAUGGACUUGAUUAAAGAUGGAGUUUAUUACAGUUUCUUUGUGAUGAAGAGGAGAAAGUUGUCUCUAAAAGAAAAAGUGGGGUCCGGGGUACUGAAUUAAUUUGACCUGUUUGAUCAAUUCAAUGAAAAGAAAUGCUCAGAUUGGUCAAACAGGUUGUAAAUAACUCGGAAAUAUAGGGACCCGCUGGGGCUUUGGCUUGUGGAACCCUUGGGGCAGAGCCCCUGCAGACAGUCUGGGCUUCCAGACAACCCAAGGGAACUGCUGGGAGCUGGAGCUGCUGAAGGAAAAGUAGGUCAUCCAGAGGACCCAAGACAUGGUGGCUACUAAUGGACUCUUCCCACAUUUCUUCAUACCAUUUGGAGUCCUGCAAGGACAGUGAGCAUCUCAACUUCCCUUGAACUUGAUCUGGAUGGGCCUGAUAGUCUAUGUGAGCCUGCUUCUGCUGACUCCAAAAAUCCUGAGUCUGCCAUUUGAUCCUCAAGAUAAUGCCUUCCUGUCCUAGGCUCACUCCUACACUGCAUUCCACAAUUGGUCUAACUGAUGGCUCUGCGGAGUGCUCCCCUCUUCAUCAGUGGAAAGCGUCCCAUGGUGGGCAUCUCCACUUCAAGGAAACGACUCUCUCCAAGUCUGAGAAUACCUUCGACAGCAACAAUCAUAUAUGAUGCCUCUUCUUAAUCUGAUGACAUCUAAUAAUCCUAAAAUGGACUGGUGCAACACUUUGUACCUUAACCGUGGACAUAAUCUUCUUAUUCUAAGGAGAAGGCAACUCAGUAUAUAGAAGAACUGUGCAGAAUUUGAGAGACCAAACAAACUUAUUUCUAGCAGUAGCCAUGCAGAAAGAGAGACCCAAGAAGAAAUCAGGGAUCCUUACAAGUAGA